GGAACGCGUGGCGCGAGCAAGCGCGCGUCGCCGCCGCGGAGAACGCGAGGAUCGCCGCGGAGAAGGCUGCCGCGGCGCUCAUCCCGAGCGCGCCGCCGACGUCGCAAGCGUCGGCCAAGGCUGAGCGCGAGCGGCUGGCGAAAAAGGCGCUCCAGGCGCGUAUUCCUCGCACUGGUUCCCAUACGACCCCGUUCGCGUGGUGAACGCCGUUCCUUAAGGACUUCUCUCCCGGCGUGUCUCUCCGCCCAUCGCCCCUCGCUUUCGAUCCCGACACACCUCGAUGCCUUUCAACUCCUUCAACUGACGCCUUUCGACUCCACCCCGACGUUCGCUUCGUAUGGAACGAACGACCCUCAGGCGGCGCGGGAUAAGGCGACGCUGGCGAGGGCGAAGGAUAAAGCGCUGGAGGAGCGCAAAGCGCGACAGCUGGCGGCGGCGCGGCACCUCGCGGCGAAGCGACGGAUGGCGGAGGGGAAGCCCGCGGAGAUGACGUCGGACCCGGGGCGGCUCACGCGCGCGACGCAUUCGCACGCGAGCAGAGUGGCGACGGAACGCGAAGACUCGGGGCUGUU
This 572-nucleotide long non-coding RNA is filed under the name Micromonas pusilla. RNAcentral describes it as "long non-coding RNA (MPUS_LNC000054)". Lineage: Eukaryota; Viridiplantae; Chlorophyta; Mamiellophyceae; Mamiellales; Mamiellaceae. The record is from RNAcentral.